ACGGAAGGCAGCAGUGAGGAAUAUUGGUCAAUGGAGGCAACUCUGAACCAGCCAUCUCGCGUGAAGGAAUACGGCCCUACGGGUCUUAAACUUCUUUUAUAGGGGGAUAAAGUGAGCCACGUGUGGCUUUUUGUAGGUACCCUAUGAAUAAGCAUCGGCUAACUCCGUGCCAGCAGCCGCGGUAAUACGGAGGAUGCGAGCGUUAUCCGGAUUUAUUGGGUUUAAAGGGUGCGCAGGCGGCACGUUAAGUCAGCGGUGAAAUGUCGGGGCUCAACCCGGGCACUGCCGUUGAAACUGGCGAGCUUGAGUACGGAUGAAGUCGGCGGAAUGUGAUGUGUAGCGGUGAAAUGCUUAGAUAUGUCACAGAACACCGAUUGCGAAGGCAGCUUACUAAUCCGCAACUGACGCUCAGGCACGAAAGCGUGGGGAUCGAACAGGAUUAGAUACCCUGGUA
RNAcentral lists this ribosomal RNA (454 nucleotides) under uncultured Porphyromonas sp. Its description in RNAcentral is "partial 16S ribosomal RNA". It matches the Rfam family "Bacterial small subunit ribosomal RNA", at positions 341 to 792 of the family's 1533-position model. The record is from RNAcentral. Lineage: Bacteria; Pseudomonadati; Bacteroidota; Bacteroidia; Bacteroidales; Porphyromonadaceae.